This 77-nucleotide transfer RNA is filed under the name Dreissena polymorpha. Its description in RNAcentral is "tRNA-Thr". The stretch from base 10 to 69 matches the Rfam family "tRNA", at positions 7 to 64 of the family's 71-position model. From Rfam's summary of the family: Transfer RNA (tRNA) molecules are approximately 80 nucleotides in length. Their secondary structure includes four short double-helical elements and three loops (D, anti-codon, and T loops). Lineage: Eukaryota; Metazoa; Mollusca; Bivalvia; Myida; Dreissenidae. The record is from RNAcentral.
GCGACCCGUUUAGCUCAGUCGGGAGAGAACUCGCCCUGUAAGCGAGUUGUCCCGGGUUCGAGUCCCAGACUGCCGCA